AGAAAGGCUGGCUCCCCACAGGCUCGCUAAUUUACUUCAUCAAAAGAGGUGUCAUGAAUCUACCCAGCUGAGCUUGAGCAGUAUUGUGAGUAAUGCAGGCAAAACUAUAUAUCAGAGGAACUUUUAUGCAUCUUUUCUGUCAAAUGGAGAGGAAUACCAGUAACAAAGAUAUGCUUCUGGCAUCUUGAUUAAGGCCUUCACUUAGGAGUCUAGC
This 214-nucleotide long non-coding RNA is filed under the name Struthio camelus australis. RNAcentral describes it as "lncRNA (ENSSCUG00000017262.1)". The record is from RNAcentral. Lineage: Eukaryota; Metazoa; Chordata; Aves; Struthioniformes; Struthionidae.